UACGUAGGGCCCAAGCGUUGUUCGGAUUUACUGGGCGUAAAGGGCGCGUAGGCGGCUUGACAAGUCACUUGUGAAAUCUCUGGGCUUAACCCAGAACGGCCAAGUGAUACUGUCGUGCUAGAGUGCAGAAGGGGCAAUCGGAAUUCUUGGUGUAGCGGUGAAAUGCGUAGAUAUCAAGAGGAACACCUGAGGUGAAGACGGGUUGCUGGGCUGACACUGACGCUGAGGCGCGAAAGCCAGGGGAGCAAACGGG
Molecule: ribosomal RNA, 253 nt
Filed under: uncultured bacterium
Lineage: Bacteria
Description: partial 16S ribosomal RNA
Rfam family: Bacterial small subunit ribosomal RNA
Source: RNAcentral